Molecule: long non-coding RNA, 1550 nt
Organism: Triticum aestivum (bread wheat)
Lineage: Eukaryota; Viridiplantae; Streptophyta; Magnoliopsida; Poales; Poaceae
Exons: 7
Source: RefSeq, a predicted model, not a curated record
CAGUCUAUCGAUCGCUAAUCUGCCCCGCAGUAAAAAAAGGAAGAAAACCGCCCGCCGGCACGACCUCCUCCUCCUCCCGCAGCCGCGCCCUUCACCGCCUCCUCGCGCCGCCGGAGCCACGGGAAGCGGCCGCGGGUCGCCGGGAGCCUCCCCUGCCGCCGGAGCCGCCCCGCCGCGCCCUUCGCCGCCUCCCCAGCCGCAGCUUGGCCGCCGCCACACCGCCUCCGCCACGCCGCCACUCCACGGGCCACGCCUCGAUCCCUUCAUCCUCUUCCCGAGCCGCCGGCGUCCAUCACGCGCCCCCCUACUCUUCUCCUCCAACCUGGCCAGUCCCCACACCCGGAGCCCCUGCGGAUCGAGGCGUCUUCCACGCAGAGGACGACGCGGGGAACCUCCAUUGCCCUCCAUUCUGACGGCCGCCCUACAGUGGCCCUGACACGAUGGUUCCCCUCUAUUGUUGACUGAUCGAGCGACGUGUUCAUUUUUUUUCUGUGGCAGAUCACGACGACGACCCUGACAGCAGAGGAGGAGGAGGACACGGAGAGGAAGGACCGAGAGUUAGACAUGGAUGUGCACUAUGAGGCAACACGCCGCCGUGUUUGCCCCGCCAUCUUCUGAUCUCUUCAGCAUUCCUGCUGUCUUGGGUUUUCUCUACACACGCAGUGUUUUAGAACGAUGCCCGCUUCAGAGUUUCAGUUCAACUCACCCAGACAGAAAUACAUUCUAUCACUGGCUAAGCAUAGUACGAACUGGGUGGACAUGGAGCCAAGGACAUGCUAAGUCAGAACUCGAAGUUGGGACAACUCAACAAGGGAAAGAGGAGCCUCAAGGGAGAUACCUGCAUAACACUGGAUGCACUGCAGAAGGAAUCAGAAAUGUUCUUAUGUUUUAGUGGCGGAAUGGCAAGGCGGCCGGUUAGAUGACCUGGGUCCGUGGUGAGUUGGUGGCUCUCGACUACAAGAAGAUCAUUGAGGCAAUCCAUAGUAGAUUUCAACAAGAAUCUAUAAAGGCUCUAAGGGAGUAGAGGAAUCAAAAGAAAACACCUGACAGUGCAAAGUGCACUUAGGCAGUAAGGUCAACACAAGACUACUCAUGAAACGCCUCCAUCAGGAGGCCAAAAUAUACACAUACGAACUCCCGGACAUUGCAUACCGGGGAGCUUUCUUCUAUUUAGGAUUUAAGGCUGAUAACAUGCUCAUGAAAAGACAGGAAUGUAGCACCACUCCAAUCUUUAGAAGGUUCCCACCCUGUUCUGUGAUGAAUGUGGAUAAAGACGAAGCAGAGAACAUAAUAUCUUGGUGAAGGCAUCUCAACCGAGAUGAGACAUUGUUUUGAGGUUUUCUUAGGUAAACAGGGGGAUGGGCCUUGUCUCGCUAUAUAGCGAGCCGACAGAACCCAUCGCAUCAGGCACUCCCAUAUAUGAGCCAAUCCAUCGCGGGAGGCAGGGCUGGCCUCUAGCACACGUUUUCCUUUUUUUGUUCUUUUUUGUUUUUGCGGGUAUUUUCCUUUUUAUGUUGUUUUAGUACUCAGUACUUUUAUUUAUAUGUUUC